This 27-nucleotide non-coding RNA is filed under the name Mus musculus (house mouse). The record is from RNAcentral. Lineage: Eukaryota; Metazoa; Chordata; Mammalia; Rodentia; Muridae.
UAAGAACUCGAUCCUGAAAAUUUACCA